ACAAGAUGGAGGAAGGUGGGGAUGGACGUCAAGGUCAUCAUGGCCCUUAUGUCCAGGGCGACACACGUGCUACAAUGGCCGGCACAACGGGAAGCGAGUUCGCGAGGACGAGCGGAUCCCUCAAAGACCGGUCGCAGUUCGGAUUGAAGUCUGCAACUCCGACUUCAUGAAGCUGGAAUCGCUAGUAAUCGUGGAUCAGCCAAGCCGCGGUGAAUACGUUCCCGGGCCUU
RNAcentral lists this ribosomal RNA (230 nucleotides) under uncultured Synergistaceae bacterium. Its description in RNAcentral is "partial 16S ribosomal RNA". It matches the Rfam family "Bacterial small subunit ribosomal RNA", at positions 1158 to 1382 of the family's 1533-position model. The record is from RNAcentral. Lineage: Bacteria; Thermotogati; Synergistota; Synergistia; Synergistales; Synergistaceae.